RNAcentral lists this long non-coding RNA (2894 nucleotides) under Bemisia tabaci. Its description in RNAcentral is "lncRNA ENSSSA1UGG010007". Lineage: Eukaryota; Metazoa; Arthropoda; Insecta; Hemiptera; Aleyrodidae. The record is from RNAcentral.
UUGACUCUUAGCUCUGUUUGGUCGGACAACUUCAUUUUUUUUUCUUUUGGUAGAAAAUACUUAUAACACCAAGUUUCUCGAAUUUCGGUCGAAACUGGUUGCAACAUACUUAGGUGUAUGCCCAGUAAAUCGAAAUUUUACUAUCUUUAAGACAUAAUUCAUGCAAACAAUUUUUCGAGCUCAGACUGACAAUAUUUCUGCCGCGCGCGUGGAAAAAUUCCUUAAAUUGAUUUUCGAAGAAAAUUUUGGCCUACUUUAUGAUUAUCAAUGGCAAAGUAUUUCUUACGGGACCUCUAAUCAAGAUGAAAAAAAAUUAGUAUCUAGGAAUGCCAUUUUCCCCAGUAUUGUCUCCCAUGCAUUCGGCAAAAAUUCAAAUAAGAGAUAGAGGUAAAAAUAACACUAAUAUGCUAAAAUGUAAUACUAAAAUAAAUCCAAAGUUAUGGAAGCUCGAUUAUCCCCUCUAAGUAUCACUUGCCUAACCGUCAGGGGCUGUCGGCGGAUGUUCAUUCCUAAAAAUUCAAAUGAGAGAUAGAGAUAAAAAUAACAGUAAUAUGCUAAAAUAUAAUGCUAAAAUAAAUCCAAAGUUAUGGAAGCUCGAUUAUCCCCUCUAUGUAUCACUUGCCUAACCGUCAGGGGCUGUCGGCGGAUGUUCAUUCCAUGCUAUAUUACGAUAGAAGGUUAUGGACUGAAUGGGAUGGGGCUCUUUUAACUAAGCGCAGUAUUACCCAUUCGUGGGUAUUCGAAGAAAAAAACCACCCGGACACUCCUCCGAGCCAAUACAUUAUCAUGUUUAAAGAUGUUUAAUUUGAAUUAUACUUUGCAAUCAUUAGUGAGCAUCACUUCCCGCUAAUUCAUAUAAAUAAUCUAUUUAAAUAGGGGGGCUAAUGAGACGCACGUUAUUUUCAAAAGGAGCCAGAAAUGGAUUGCAUUUUGCAAUAAGGAACCACUAUCUCUGGCUCUCCCAUAAAAGCACAUAUCUGCAUAGGGAAACCAAUGGCAUGUAUGUUGUUUCUAAAGUGGGCCAGAAAUAAUGGUUCCUUAUUGCAAAAUGUAAUCCAAAUAGUAGUUCCUAUUCCCAAAAUUAAGUCCAAUUCGCAGCUUUACUCUUCUGCCUUCUUUAGGGAAAACAUCGGCUGAGCCCGUGGAUGUUGCCAAAUUUCUCCCGAUAAAAUACAAAAUUUCAAGGAAACUUGUUUUUCUUCCAAUUUAUCAAAAAACUGCCUAUCGCAGAACAAUCACGCUUUAUUCUACUUUUUCUGAUUAAAAAAAAAAAAAAAAAAAAAAAAAAAAUUGAUAACCUUCCUUAAAGAUGUAUGUAGCAGAGGGGGAGUUUUGGCAGCAUUUGGUUGUUCAUGCGACUAUUUACUAAACUCCGCUGCAGCGUUGUACAUCGUGUAUUAACAAAACACAAAACAAAACAGUUAUCAACUUCGAGUAAUCGUAUUAGAUUAAAAAUUAUGAAUGAAUCAAAUUCAAACCUACUAAAAUCCCUAUAUCUUCAAAAUCACUGAUGCCCCAGAACUUUACAUGUUUAAGUGGGAUUUUUUAUUUCAUCCAUUAGAUAUACAAUUCGAAUACAGGGGAAAGCUAAAAAGAUUAAAAUUACUAAAGGUAAGAUUUCCAAAAAGACUCUAUAAUUUGAUUAUCUAAAUUAUAACAUUUAAUUAAGGAUUGUUAGUAUUAUUAAGUAUUAGAUUAUUAAGUACCGUUAUUCUUCUCGGUCUCUGGGUUUCAUGCCAAACAUCCUCAUCGCCGCAACGUUUCCAGCCCUUUUUCCCCAUCUCUUCGCGUGUGCUUACGGGAGUUUCAACCGGAUUUCAUCUCGACCAUUCGUUGAAUUUUUAUCCUAGCGAAGCAACUGGAUUGAAUUACAUUUAUUGCGUUGUUGUGCACUGUCUUAAUUCGACUGAAAUUUUCCUCAACUUUUUGACAUCGUGAUUCUGCACGAUUUAUCUAACCUGCACAAUAAUAAUGCUCAUUGGUAUUUCUCAAAAGCGGAAGUGGGUCUCGUCACUCCAUGCCGCAUCAUAAUUUUUGAAUUUUUAGUGAUUAUUUCCUCACUUAAAAUCUAAAACAGAAAUCAGAAUCGCAUAAUUAUGCCCACGCUAAAGUGCUGUCAAAUUAUUGCCUCAUCGAUUUCGCCCAAAAGUUGAUUGUCAAAUGAAAAAUGCGUCAAAAACUUUCAAUAAACGAAUCCUGGAGUAGAUACUUUCCGUUGUCCAACUCGAAGAAGUAAUGAUGGCCAUAAGAUCAGAUUCUUUCAUAUACACACGAAAUACGUUUUAUACACUAUUUUUGUGAGAAUCACAAGGAUAUUCGGUUGGCUGAAUUUCUCCCCAAAUCAAGUGAAAUUCUGUUCAAGUUAAAGUCAAACUGUCGUGCAAAACAUUGAAGUGGUGAAGAAUUCACAAACCAGUGAAAAUAUCCUGUUGAGUUAGCACGUCAUUGCCGGAAACUGUACUAUUCGACGGUAAGCGCCAUGGGAUUGGCGCAUCUUCGCGUUCGAAGAUGCAGUGCUUGAAGUAUUCACAUGUUUUUGCAGGCGCUCUAAGCGGUCCGUGCUAAGUAUACUGAUUUAACCUCGUUGAUGAAACAAUUAGCACAUCUUUGCGUUCAAUGAUGUAUUGUUUGAAGUAUUCGCACGAUAUUGCAAGCACUCCUAACGGUCCAUGGUGACUUAACUUCCUCGGUUUUUUACGUGACUGUUCGAAAUCACGGUAACCGCAGUUCUAGACUGUGUCGACAUUCGAAGAUAGGACAAGCCCCGAGCAUAAUCUUGAGAAUGGUCCUGUUUCCAUCAAAUUGCUGAGGGUGCAUUUCUCGAGGCACUCAAGUCUGGAGACAACACCUCAGUCGAUUGUUAUCUCUGAUACGUUGGUUCAGCACUCAAUAUU